GGGCGAAUAGCUCAGUUGGUAGAGCGCCUCGUUUACACCGAGGUGGCCGGGGGUUCGAGUCCCUCUUCGCCCA
Molecule: transfer RNA, 73 nt
Filed under: Planctomycetota bacterium
Lineage: Bacteria; Pseudomonadati; Planctomycetota
Description: Planctomycetes bacterium (activated sludge metagenome) tRNA-Val
Rfam family: tRNA
About the family: Transfer RNA (tRNA) molecules are approximately 80 nucleotides in length. Their secondary structure includes four short double-helical elements and three loops (D, anti-codon, and T loops).
Source: RNAcentral